This 443-nucleotide ribosomal RNA is filed under the name uncultured bacterium. Its description in RNAcentral is "partial 16S ribosomal RNA". It matches the Rfam family "Bacterial small subunit ribosomal RNA", at positions 338 to 795 of the family's 1533-position model. The record is from RNAcentral.
CCUACGGGAGGCAGCAGUGGGGAAUAUUGGGCAAUGGAGGCAACUCUGACCCAGCAACGCCGCGUGAGUGAUGAAGGUCUUCGGAUUGUAAAACUCUUUAAGUGGGGACGAAGAAAGUGACUGUACCCUCAGAAUAAGCCUCGGCUAACUACGUGCCAGCAGCCGCGGUAAUACGUAGAAGGCAAGCGUUAUCCGGAAGGACUGGGCGUAAAGGGUGCGUAGGUGGUUCGGGAAGUUAGUAGCGUAAUUCCGGGGAUCAACCUCGGAACUACUACUAAAACUGUUGGGCUUGGGUGCAGGAGGGGCAUAUGGAAUUCCUAGUGUAGCGGUGGAAUGCGUAGAGAUUAGGAAGAACACCAGUGGCGAGGGCGAUAUGCUGGACUGUAACUGACACUGAGGCACGAAAGCGUGGGGAGCAAACAGGAUUAGAUACCCGUGUAGUC